RNAcentral lists this ribosomal RNA (253 nucleotides) under uncultured prokaryote. Its description in RNAcentral is "partial 16S ribosomal RNA". It matches the Rfam family "Bacterial small subunit ribosomal RNA", at positions 524 to 776 of the family's 1533-position model. The record is from RNAcentral.
GACGAGCCACACAAACGUUAUUCGGAAUUACUGGGCUUAAAGGGUGCGUAGGCGGUGCGGAAAGUUGGGUGUGAAAUCCCUCGGCUCAACCGAGGAACUGCGCCCAAAACUACCGCACUCGAGGAAGAUAGAGGUGAGCGGAACUUACGGUGGAGCGGUGAAAUGCGUUGAUAUCGUAAGGAACACCCGUGGCGAAAGCGGCUCACUGGGUCUUUUCUGACGCUGAUGCACGAAAGCUAGGGGAGCAAACGGG